This 267-nucleotide ribosomal RNA is filed under the name Lolium arundinaceum. RNAcentral describes it as "Festuca arundinacea 5.8S ribosomal RNA". Lineage: Eukaryota; Viridiplantae; Streptophyta; Magnoliopsida; Poales; Poaceae. The record is from RNAcentral. RNAcentral also lists the same sequence under 2 other names.
CCCAGGCAGGCGUGCCCUCGGCCAAGAGGCCUCGGGCGCAACUUGCGUUCAAAGACUCGAUGGUUCGCGGGAUUCUGCAAUUCACACCAGGUAUCGCAUUUCGCUACGUUCUUCAUCGAUGCGAGAGCCGAGAUAUCCGUUGCCGAGAGUCGUGUGGAUUAUAUAGAAUUGCAACUCAGGGUGCGGCCAGCAAGCCAGCCACAUCCCCUCGUUAGGCACAGUGUUCCUUGACGCCUUCGGCGCCGUGGGUUCUUUUACCCCGAGCCC